Long non-coding RNA from Salvia miltiorrhiza (redroot sage), 465 nucleotides. RefSeq lists it as uncharacterized. The transcript has 4 exons. NCBI's taxonomy places the organism in Eukaryota, Viridiplantae, Streptophyta, Magnoliopsida, Lamiales, Lamiaceae. The record is from RefSeq and is a predicted model, not a curated record.
UUCAAUCUGUGAAAUUUUGCUCUCAUAUUUUAAUUGCUGUUUUGCAAAAAAAGUGCCUGCGAAGGGAUUUUCCCUUUUGUUCAAUAUCUUCAGUUUCGACCUUCACUCAAUUCGAUGAAUCGGCUGGAGACGAACAGUGCUGUUAUAUGGUAAAUUCACUUUCAACGAAUUUGAUUACAUCUCUAUUGUUCUCUGCUGGAUAAGCACAGUCUUCUGCUAAGAUUGUUAGAGUUGAAAAUGUUAACGCAGAAGCAAGUGAACUCGAAAAUGUCGGUGUAGAUUCCCUGCUUAAGCAUGAUGCUAUGAUUGGUUCUGCUAAUGUGCGGUUUGCUAAGGAGGCCGAACUUGAUGUUCAACCACGUUUACCAAACGAACCUGAUGCUCAACUCGACAACAUAGUUCAUUGUACACCUGUUCAAAAGUCCAAGGGAAAGGCUACGAUUGAGGGGAAAUGAUCAAUAAAAA